GGAUAAUUAAAGCCAAUAUAAAUAAAGAACUGAAUAAAAGUCUUUAGUUCAGACAGCCCUAAUUUUGUCAUAAAUAAUGGAAUUUCCUUUUGGACACCACCACCACCGUCGCGACGACGACGGUGGAGAGGAAUUUCCACCUCCCGGACGACGACCACCACCGUCAGCCUACGACGAACCACCACCGUCAGAAGUUACCCAUGUCUAUCACACUUCCCAUGUAGGUGGACCACCACCGAUGGAUCCCAAUUAUAACCGUCCUCAUUAUCCUCCACCGCCACCUAUGGAGGACGAUUAUGGUCGGACUAGUUAUCCUCCUCCGUCAAUGGAGGAUAGUUAUGGUCGGACUAAUUAUCCGCCUCCGCGAAUGGAGGAGAACUAUGGUGGAUCUUAUAAUCGUACACCGCCUUAUUAUGAGGGCCCGCCACCACCGCAACCACCUAGUUAUUCCUCCGUCGAACACGUGUCUCACGAGAGUGAGAGUGAGAGCGUUCAUCGUCAGCAUGAUCAUCAUCGUUUUCAACCACAUGUGCCUUCAUUCUUCCACCAUGAGACCUCACCACAUCCAGAGCUCAUCGAUAAGCCUUCAUUUAGGGUUUAUACAAAGGCUGAUCCCAAUUACUCUCUCACUAUCCGUGACGGCAAAGUCGUUCUUGCCUCUUCUGAUCCAUCCGAUCCUUUUCAACACUGGUAUAAAGAUGAGAAGUACAGCACUAAAGUGAAGGAUGAAGAGGGGUUUCCAAGCUUUGCUCUGGUUAAUAAAGCUGCAGGACUGGCCAUGAAGCACUCUGUUGGCGCCUCUCACCCUGUAAUUAACACACUGAUGUUCAAGGGCCUUGCCUUCCUGAUGUUACAUGGCUUUUGACUGGAAGUCUUGUGGACAGAGAGCAGGGACGUGAGUGAUGGUUAUCGAGCAGUUAGGAUGGUUAAUAACAUUCGCCUCAAUCUAGAUGCAUGGAAUGCUGAUAAAGAACAUGGAGGUGUCCGUGACGGGACCAUUGUUGCUCUCUGGGAAUGGUGGAAAGGAGACAACCGUAACCAACAAUGGAAGAUCGUUCCCUACUGAUAUGUUGGCUCGUGAAUGAUGACUGGACGAGUUUAAAUAAUGGAGUUGAUGCUUGGUGUUUUUUUUAUUGUGUGGCUUAUUACGCAUUUUGUAUUGUAUUCAAUGUCCCUCCAAGAAUGUAAAAGAAAUUGAAAGCAAGGGAAAUACUAUGUAUUGUGUGGGAGGUGACAUGGCUAUGGUAUGUAUGUGUUUUAAUUUCUAUUUUGUGCUCGGUAGUUUGUGCCUGUUUAUCUUCUUUCUUAUUACUAAGAUAUAUGACAAAGGAUCACAACAGCCUUAUGAAGCCAUAAAUUUAGCCA
RNA transcript from Nicotiana tabacum (common tobacco), 1365 nucleotides. It is a transcript of the gene named ricin B-like lectin R40G2, with no coding region annotated. The record is from RefSeq and is a predicted model, not a curated record. Lineage: Eukaryota; Viridiplantae; Streptophyta; Magnoliopsida; Solanales; Solanaceae.